RNA transcript from Mandrillus leucophaeus (drill), 801 nucleotides. It is a transcript of the gene named transmembrane protein 14C pseudogene, with no coding region annotated. The record is from RefSeq and is a predicted model, not a curated record. Lineage: Eukaryota; Metazoa; Chordata; Mammalia; Primates; Cercopithecidae. The transcript has a single exon.
AUGCAAGACACCGGCUCAGUAGUGCCGUUGCAUUGGUUUGGCUUUGGCUGUGCAGCACUGGUUGCUUCUGGUGGGAUCGUUGGCUAUGUAAAAGCAGGCAGCGUGCUGUCCCUGGCUGCCGGGCUGCUCUUCGGCAGCCUAGCCGGCCUGGGUGCUUAGCAGCUGUCUCAGAAUCCAAGGAACGUUUGGGUUUUCCUAGCUACAUCUGGUACCUUGGCUGGCAUUAUGGGAAUGAGAUUCUACCUCUCUGGAAAAUUCAUGCCUGCAGAUUUAAUUGCAGGUGCCAGUUUGCUGAAGGCCGUCAAAGUUGGAGUUAGUAUGUUCAACAGACCCCAUUAGCAGAAGUCAUGUUCCAUCUUGCACUGAUGAAGAAUUAAAAAUCUGCAUCUUCCACUAUUUUCAAUGUAUUAACAGAAAUAAGUGCAGCAUUUUUGCAUCUGACAUUUUACCUAAAAAAAAAAAGACACCAAACUUGGCAGAGGGGUGGAAAAUCAGUCAUGAUUACAACUCUACAGAGGUGGUGAAUAUGUAACAGAAGAGCUUAAUAAGACCCUAAUAGAGAUUGAUUCUUGUAUAUUGAUGUUAUCUCUUCUUUCCAUAUCUAUAGGUAAAUCUCAAGGAUAAAAUAUUAGAUGUCAACUUUGAGGGCCCUGAAAUCCCAUUCUGUGCUCUGAGGAACAGUGUGAAAAAAUCUCUUAUGAGAUUUAGACUAUCUGUUCUUUUGCUCAUCUUAGACCACAGACUGACUUUGAAAUUAUGUUUAGUGAAAUAUCAAUGAAAAUAAAGGUUACUAUAAAUAAA